UACGUAGGGUGCAAGCGUUAAUCGGAAUUACUGGGCGUAAAGCGUGCGCAGGCGGUUUUGUAAGUCUGUUGUGAAAUCCCCGGGCUCAACCUGGGAAUGGCGAUGGAGACUGCAAGGCUAGAAUCUGGCAGAGGGGGGUAGAAUUCCACGUGUAGCAGUGAAAUGCGUAGAUAUGUGGAGGAACACCGAUGGCGAAGGCAGCCCCCUGGGCUAAGAUUGACGCUCAUGCACGAAAGCGUGGGGAGCAAACAGG
Molecule: ribosomal RNA, 253 nt
Filed under: uncultured bacterium
Lineage: Bacteria
Description: partial 16S ribosomal RNA
Rfam family: Bacterial small subunit ribosomal RNA
Source: RNAcentral